AGUGAACGCUGGCGGUAGGCCUAACACAUGCAAGUCGAACGGCAGCACAGUAAGAGCUUGCUCUUACGGGUGGCGAGUGGCGGACGGGUGAGGAAUACAUCGGAAUCUACUUUUUCGUGGGGGAUAACGUAGGGAAAAUUACGCUAAUACCGCAUACGACCUACGGGUGAAAGCAGGGGAUCUUCGGACCUUGCGCGAGUGAAUGAGCCGAUGUCGGAUUAGCUAGUUGGCGGGGUAAAGGCCCACCAAGGCGACGAUCCGUAGCUGGUCUGAGAGGAUGAUCAGCCACACUGGAACUGAGACACGGUCCAGACUCCUACGGGAGGCAGCAGUGGGGAAUAUUGGACAAUGGGCGCAAGCCUGAUCCAGCCAUACCGCGUGGGUGAAGAAGGCCUUCGGGUUGUAAAGCCCUUUUGUUGGGAAAGAAAAGCAGCAGGUUAAUACCCCGCUGUUCUGACGGUACCCAAAGAAUAAGCACCGGCUAACUUCGUG
RNAcentral lists this ribosomal RNA (492 nucleotides) under uncultured bacterium. Its description in RNAcentral is "partial 16S ribosomal RNA". It matches the Rfam family "Bacterial small subunit ribosomal RNA", at positions 29 to 507 of the family's 1533-position model. The record is from RNAcentral.